GGUAAAGGGUAUAAAUACCCCCACCCACACCUGACCAAAGAAACCCUAGCCGCCAGUGGUCGCCGGAGAAGAAGAACCAGACGCCGGAGGAGCCGGCCGCCGCCACCCGCCGCCACACCGGGGAAGUUUCCGACCACUGAUCAAGGUAAUUUUUCUCUCCCUUGCUCGUUUUUCGAUGUAGAGUCCACCUAUGGCCAAACCGGAGCCAAACCAUCGGCCAAACGGCUGGAAAACCCAGCCGAAACCCAGCGGCGCCACCGCGCCCCUCCUCGGUUUUUGCCUCCGAUGAGGCCCUUCCCGGCCUCCGUUUGAUGCAAAUUUUAUACCACUGUGAUCAUCGUUCUUUUCUCUACAGGUUGAUCGGAGCCAAACAUCAAAACACGACUCACGCCGGAGGAGCCGCCGCACCCGAGAGCACCGCCGCCGGUAAGUUUCGAUUUUUCGUGAUUUUUCGGCCCACCGAGGGCCCUAGGGUUGUUCUAUCGUGGGGAUCGAUGCAAGCAUGGCCGAAUUCGACCAUUUUAUUUCGUGAUUU
RNAcentral lists this long non-coding RNA (535 nucleotides) under Carica papaya (papaya). Its description in RNAcentral is "long non-coding RNA (CPAP_LNC007957)". Lineage: Eukaryota; Viridiplantae; Streptophyta; Magnoliopsida; Brassicales; Caricaceae. The record is from RNAcentral.